Molecule: ribosomal RNA, 2922 nt
Organism: Methanomassiliicoccales archaeon RumEn M1
Lineage: Archaea; Methanobacteriati; Thermoplasmatota; Thermoplasmata; Methanomassiliicoccales
Rfam family: Archaeal large subunit ribosomal RNA
Source: Rfam
AAUAGCGGCAUGCUACGUCGUAUGGGGAAUGGCUCGGCUCGAGCGCCGAAGAAGGUCGUGUCAAGCUGCGAUAUGCACCGGGUAGUUGCAAGAAGACUAUGAUCCGGUGAUUACCUAAUGGGACUUCCUAUUCUUCGGAAUGCUCCGGAAGGAGCGGGAACGCGGGGGAUCGAAACAUCCUAGUACCCGCAGGAAAAGAAAUCAACCGAGAUGCCGUCAGUAAAGGCGAUCGAACGCGGCACAGAGCAAACCGAAUCGCUGAUAGAAAUGUCAGCGAGUUGUGGUGUUGUGGGCCCGGAUACAUCUUCGCUGGUCAACCUGAAGUCGCCUGGAAAGGCGCACCAUAGUGGGUGACAGUCCUUUAAGGAUCAGCCAGAAAGAUGAGUUUCGGUGUCCCAGAGUAACGUGCGUUGGAUAUCGCGCGUGAAGCUGGGGAACAUUCAUCUCCAACUCUAAAUACGUCUCGAGACCGAUAGUGCAGUAGUAGCGUGAGUGAAAGCUGAAAAGUACCCUUGACGGGAGGUCAAAAGAGCCUGAAACCAUCCGACUAUAACCAGAUGUGGCGUUAAAGCGUAGAAGCUCGCAAGAGUGGAGCAGCGUUGCAUCAUCCGUUUUGAAAAACGGGCCAGCGAGUUCUGUUCAGUGGCGAGACUAAGGUAUUGAAUACCGGAGUCGUAGGGAAACCAACAAGCACGCAACACCGUAAGGUGCGAGGUGCGAGGUGCGCUCGCCUGGAGUCACUGGAGGGAUACCCGAAGCCAGUUGAUCUAUGCGUGGGUAGGUUGAAGCCCCUCGAAAGGGGGGUGGAGGACCGAACCGGUAGUGAUGUGCAAAUCCUUCGGAUAACCUGCGUAUAGGGGUGAAAGGCCAAUCUAAACUGGAAAUAGCUGGUUCCUCUCGAAACUUGUCGCAGCAAGACCUCAGCUGAGGCUGAUUGUGGGGUAGAGCGACUGAUCAGGACUUAGGCCGGGAAACCGGUCGGUUCCUUGUCAAACUCCGAACCUGCGAUCGUCGUAGACGCUGGGAUUGAGGGCCUCUGGGGUAAGCUUGGGGUCCAUAAGGAAAUGAAUCCAGCCUAGGGUUAAGGUCCCUAAAUACCGGCUAAGUGAAACAUGAAACUGCGUCCGCAGUCUAAGACAACCGGGAGGUGGGCUUAGAAGCAGCCAUCCUUCAAAGAAAGCGUAACAGCUCACCGGUCGAGAUUGUGGGCCGGGAAGAUGGACGGGUCUAAAGCCGGUUACCGAUACCCUAGAGCACCGCAAGGUGAUCUGGUAGAGAGGUGACGUGCAUGGGUAGAAGUUUGGCCGUGAGGUCAAGUGGACCGUGCUCGUAUAUGGAUGCUGGUAGGAGUAGCAGCAAAGAUUGGUGAGAAUCCAAUCCGCCGCAGGGGCCAGGGUUCCUCGGCAAUGUUCGUCAGCCGAGGGUUAGCCGAUCCUAAGACGACUCUUAAUCGAAGUCGCCGAAAGGGAAGCAGGUUAAUAUUCCUGCGCCAUGAUAGUCAUCGCCUAGUAGCUUAGCAUUCGGAUAGCUCGAGCAGGGGUGUCAAUCUGUUCAAGCGUUGAAGCCUUCGGAGAACCGUAAUGGUGAGAAGUUGGUGAAUGCGUGAGUAGGCGGGCGUAGGCCCGCUUCGAGUGAUUCCAGGUGCCAAUGAAAGAGUUACUAGUUUAGGCUAUUGUGUUCGUACCUAGAACUGACACAGGUGCCCCUAGGUGAGAAGCCUAAGGCGUGUCGGCGUAAUCCAUGCGAGGGAAUUCGGCAAAUUAGCCCCGUACCUUUGGUAUAAGGGGUGCCAGCAAUGAGAAUUGCUGGUCUCAGUAACAAGGGAGCUCGACUGUUUAAUAAAAACAUAUGUCACAGCUAGUUCGAAAGGAUUUGUAUUGUGGCUGAAGCCUGCCCAGUGACGGUAUCUGAACCUCUGUUUCAACGGAGCGAAGGACCGUUAAACGGCGGGGGUAACUAUGACCCUCUUAAGGUAGCGUAAUACCUUGUCGCUUAAUUGGCGACUUGCAUGAAGGCCCAACGAGAGCUCUACUGUCCCCGCAUGGAGACCGGUGAAACUGAUAGUACCGGCGCACAAUCCGGUAUCUUCCACCUGAAAGCGAAGACCCCAUGGAGCUUUACUGCAACCUGUUGUUGUGGUACGAGCCUCGAUGUGUAGCGUAGGCAGGAGUCGUUACCAGGGCUUGCCGCUAGGCAAGUUCCGAGACAUCAAUGAAACACUGCCCUUCGGGACUCGUAUCACUUACUCCUUCGGGAGGACAGCUAUAGGUAGGCAGUUUGGGUGGGGCGCCACGCGCUCAAAAAGAUAACAAGCGCGCCCAAAGGUCAGCUCAGGCAGGUCAGAAAUCUGCCGUUGAAUGCAAGGGUAUAAGCUGGCUUGACGCGGGUUGGGACAAUAACAAUCCGCGAUACGAAAGUAGGGCCUAGCGAACCACUCAGCCUUCUGAAUGGGGGCGAGUGAUAACAGAAAAGUUACCCUGGGGAUAACUGAGUCGUCGCUAGCAAGAGUUCAUAUCGACCUAGCGGUUUGCUACUUCGCUGUCGGCUCUCCCUAUCCUGGCGGUGCAGCAUCUGCCAAGGGUGGGGUUGUUCGCCCAUUAAAAGGGAUCGUGAGCUGGGUUUAGACCGUCGUGAGACAGGUUUGUUGCUUUUUGGUGGAAGUGUAUUGAUGCCUGACGGGAAGGAUCCUUUAGUACGAGAGGAACAGGGAUUCGUCGCCUCUAGUUCAUCAGUUGUCUGGCAAGGCACUGCUGAGCAGCCACGCGAUAAUGGAUAAGAGCUGAACGCAUCUAAGCUCGAAACUACCCCGGAAAAGAGGCAUCUUAGGACACCCGUAGAUGACGGGAUUGAUAGGACAGGGGUGUAAGUACCAAGGUUCUCCGAGGUAUUCAGCCUGCUGUUACUAACGUUCUCGCCGCUAGG